AGGAUUAACGCUGGCGGCGUGCCUAACACAUGCAAGUCGAACGGACCUUUAUUUUUGAGACUUUCCAUUUCCUUGGAGCGUCCCAUAAAUAAUGGUUAGUGGCGGACGGGUGAGUAACACGUUGGUACCUGCCUUCUAGUGGGGGAUAACGCACCGAAAGGUGUGCUAAUACCGCAUGUGAUCUACGGAUCAAAGCAGCAAUGCGCUAGAAGAGGGGCCUGCGGCUGAUUAGCUUGUUGGUAGGGUAAUGGCCUACCAAGGCGACGAUCAGUAGCUGGAUCGAGAGGUUGACCAGCCACACUGGGACUGAGAUACGGCCCAGACUCCUACGGGAGGCAGCAGUGAGGAAUUUUCCACAAUGGACGAAAGU
Molecule: ribosomal RNA, 370 nt
Filed under: uncultured bacterium
Lineage: Bacteria
Description: SSU rRNA
Rfam family: Bacterial small subunit ribosomal RNA
Source: RNAcentral